Molecule: long non-coding RNA, 298 nt
Filed under: Capsicum annuum
Lineage: Eukaryota; Viridiplantae; Streptophyta; Magnoliopsida; Solanales; Solanaceae
Description: long non-coding RNA (CANN_LNC008522)
Source: RNAcentral
UUGACUAUGUGGGGUGGGGGUUGUUUGGAUUUCAAGUGGGUAAUAACAUCUUUAGUAUUCCAUUAAUCAGACACUACAUAUAUUACUAGUAAUCACGUAAGUUCGUGGUUGCCUAUAUUUUUGGAGCACAUGAUUUGGUUCUAAUUUAAUGAUUAAAAACACUUGUUUUCAUCAUUACUUCUCUUUUUAAAAAAAAGUGAACUCCCUGUUGAACAAGAGUAGACAGAUAUAGCAAAAAGAAAAAUCCCCUUUUCUAAAUUAUUACUGCACAUAUUUUUGUUGUUGAAUAAGAUCUACA